AUACUUUGGUGGUAUAUAUACUAAAGUCGGAACAAUACAGAGAAGAUUAGCAUGGCCCCUGCGCACAGAUGACACACAAGUUCAUGAAGCGUCCACAUUUCUU
This is a small nuclear RNA of Molossus molossus (Pallas's mastiff bat), 103 nucleotides long. Lineage: Eukaryota; Metazoa; Chordata; Mammalia; Chiroptera; Molossidae. The record is from RefSeq and is a predicted model, not a curated record.